CAGCCGCCGCGGUAAUACGAAGGGUGCAAGCGUUACUCGGAAUUACUGGGCGUAAAGCGUGUGUAGGUGGUUGUUUAAGUCUGUCGUGAAAGCCCUGGGCUCAACCUGGGAAUUGCGAUGGAUACUGGGCGACUAGAGUGCGGUAGAGGAUAGUGGAAUUUCCGGUGUAGCAGUGAAAUGCGUAGAGAUCGGAAGGAACAUCUGUGGCGAAGGCGACUAUCUGGACAAAGACUGACGCUCAGGUGCGAAAGCGUGGGGAGCAAACAGGAUUAGAUACCCGUGUAGUCCCUGUCUCUUAUAA
Molecule: ribosomal RNA, 301 nt
Filed under: uncultured bacterium
Lineage: Bacteria
Description: partial 16S ribosomal RNA
Rfam family: Bacterial small subunit ribosomal RNA
Source: RNAcentral